UAACUGAAGAGUUUGAUCAUGGCUCAGAUUGAACGCUGGCGGCAGGCUUAACACAUGCAAGUCGAGCGGGGGAAGGUAGCUUGCUACCGGACCUAGCGGCGGACGGGUGAGUAAUGC
This 117-nucleotide ribosomal RNA is filed under the name Acinetobacter baumannii. RNAcentral's name for it is "partial 16S ribosomal RNA". It matches the Rfam family "Bacterial small subunit ribosomal RNA", at positions 1 to 116 of the family's 1533-position model. Lineage: Bacteria; Pseudomonadati; Pseudomonadota; Gammaproteobacteria; Moraxellales; Moraxellaceae. The record is from RNAcentral.